UGGCACAAAUAACGCAUUAAAUUGACCGCCUGGGGACUACGGCCGCCCUGUUAAAACUCAACGGAUUUGACGGUGCCACCAGCCGCUGUAAUACGGAGGGUGCAAGCGUUGUUCGGAAUUAUUGGGCGUAAAGCGCGUGUAGGCGGCUGUUUAAGUCUGAUGUGAAAGCCCUGGGCUCAACCCGGGAAGUGCAUUGGAAACUGGACAGCUUGAGUACGGGAGAGGGUAGUGGAAUUCCGAGUGUAGGGGUGAAAUCCGUAGAUAUUCGGAGGAACACCGGUGGCGAAGGCGGCUACCUGGACCGAUACUGACGCUGAGACGCGAAAGCGUGGGGAGCAAACAGGAUUAGAUACCCUGGUAGUCCACGCCGUAAACGAUGGGUACUAGGUGUCGCGGGUAUUGACCCCUGCGGUGCCGAAGCUAACGCAUUAAGUACCCCGCCUGGGGAGUACGGCCGCAAGGCUAAAACUCAAA
RNAcentral lists this ribosomal RNA (474 nucleotides) under uncultured prokaryote. RNAcentral describes it as "bacterial SSU rRNA". It matches the Rfam family "Bacterial small subunit ribosomal RNA", at positions 441 to 905 of the family's 1533-position model. The record is from RNAcentral.